GACGAACGCUGGCGGCGUGCCUAAUACAUGCAAGUAGAACGCUGAAGGAGGAGCUUGCUUCUCUGGAUGAGUUGCGAACGGGUGAGUAACGCGUAGGUAACCUGCCUGGUAGCGGGGGAUAACUAUUGGAAACGAUAGCUAAUACCGCAUAAUAGCAGUUGUUGCAUGACAACUGUUUGAAAGGUGCAAUUGCACCACUACCAGAUGGACCUGCGUUGUAUUAGCUAGUUGGUGGGGUAACGGCUCACCAAGGCGACGAUACAUAGCCGACCUGAGAGGGGGAUCGGCCACACUGGGACUGAGACACGGCCCAGACUCCUACGGGAGGCAGCAGUAGGGAAUCUUCGGCAAUGGACGGAAGUCUGAACGAGCAACGCCGCGUGAGUGAAGAAGGUUUUCGGAUCGUAAAGCUCUGUUGUAAGAGAAGAACGAGUGUGAGAGUGGAAAGUUCACACUGUGACGGUAUCUUACCAGAAGGGGACGGCUAACUACGUG
RNAcentral lists this ribosomal RNA (495 nucleotides) under uncultured bacterium. RNAcentral's name for it is "partial 16S ribosomal RNA". It matches the Rfam family "Bacterial small subunit ribosomal RNA", at positions 28 to 507 of the family's 1533-position model. The record is from RNAcentral.